CCGGGCACAUAAGGCCGUCCCGGGGCAAGGCCAGGCAAUGCAAUGCAAGGCAGCGCAGCCAUGGCGUCCUGCCGGGACUGCUGCUACAGCCUGCUCUUCGAGUACGACACCCCGCGCAUCGUCAUGAUCCGCAGCCGCAAAGUGGGGCUCAUGAACCGGCUGGUGCAGCUCGGCAUCCUCGCCUACGUGGUCGGCUGGGUCUUCAUUUGGGAAAAGGGCUACCAGGAGAUCGACUCCGUAGUCAGCUCUGUUACGAUCAAAGUGAAAGGAGUAACUGUGACCAACACAUCAACUCUGGGACCCCGGGUCUGGGAUGUGGCUGACUAUGUUAUUCCACCUCAGGAAGAGAACACCGUCUUCAUCAUGACAAACAUGAUCAUGACACUGAAUCAAACGCAAGGUUCCUGUCCCGAGCUUCCAGAUAACAAAACUGUGUGCAAGUCUGAAGAGGACUGCCAUGCAGGAUAUGUAGGCACUCAUAGCAACGGAGUCCAGACUGGGAACUGCAUUAAGUACAACGGCUCCAUCAAAACCUGCGAGAUCUACGCAUGGUGUCCUGUGGAGGAUGAUACGAAUGUACCCAGGCCAGCUUUUCUAAAGGAUGCUGAGAACUUCACCAUUUUAGUGAAGAACAACAUCUGGUAUCCCAAGUUCAACUUUGCCAAGCGAAAUAUUCUCCCUAGUAUCAAUUCCACAUACCUGAAGGGCUGUAUCUAUGACGCUCAAACGGAUCCCUUCUGCCCGAUAUUCCGGAUCCAAAAGAUAAUGGAGGCUGCAGGACAGAACUUCCAGGAGAUGGCUGUGGAGGGUGGCAUUAUGGGGCUGCAGAUCAAGUGGAACUGCGACCUUGACAAAGCGGCUUCUCUCUGCGUGCCGAGAUACAGCUUCCGUCGCCUUGACGACAAGAAUUCCAAAUACACCGUCUCCCCAGGCUACAACUUCAGAUUUGCAAAGUACUACAGGGACACAAGCGGCCUCGAGGCACGGACCCUCAUCAAGGCGUAUGGCAUCCGCUUUGAUGUCAUAGUGUUUGGAAAGGCAGGAAAAUUUGACAUCAUCCCUACAAUGAUUAACAUUGGCUCUGGUUUGGCACUGCUGGGAGUGGCAACAGUCCUGUGUGACAUCAUUGUCCUGUAUUUUAUGAAGAGAAGACACUUCUACAGAGAGAAGAAGUACAAAUAUGUGGAGGACUAUGAACUGCUGCUUUGCACUGGAGGAGAACAGAGCUUGAAUGACUGAAAGCCAUCGGCACUUCCUGCUGGGGACAGACAGACAUCCUGCCCUGUAACUGUAAGAUGUGGUGGGAAAGGCCAAGGAUUUGAGCUGAACUCUUGCAACAAAAGCAGUGGGGCAGCUCUCUGGUAAGACAGUAUCUCCUGUCUGGCCUGACCAAGUACAUGGCAUAAGCUUCCAGUCCUGGGCUCCAGAGAGGAGGGAGGCAACUCCACCUAUGGGACGCAGCCGUGACAUCCUUGGAACUGCAGCAUCAACCGCCAUAUGUGAAGCACCGCUGCAAUUAGUGCCCCACUUCACAUGUGGACAAUGAAGAGAUGCUGCAGGUUCUCUCCUUGGGACAAGAGACUUUCUUGCUACACGGAUGCAGCACAGCAGAAGCCAAAGGGAAACUUGGGGUUGCUAGUGUUUUGGAGUUUUGUUCAUGGUAUCAGAAGCAAAGAUCAAGCUAUAGGAUUUGCCUUUUUUUGCCCCCCAUGGAAGCCUGGUGCAUUCCUAGUAUUUAAGUAUACUACUGGCUAUAUCCAUGCCCCAGUUGCCAGCUCAUCUCCUCUUCCCUUUUCAUCUCAACCCAGAGCACUCUGAAGGGCAGGGCAUAGCAGCACUGGGUGGCCUGGGAGGAGGAAGCUACGCUGCACGGGGGGCAACUCCUAGGCUGUGACCUGGUGGAAAUGCUGGUUGCCUUCCUGUAAGGCUACCUGUGAGUGAAAGAAGGGGUACAGAAAAAUGCCUUACUCACAGAAGAGACAUCCCUUGGAUUGCGUGAGCUCCAUACAGCAUUGUUCUUCACUUUGGGAGAGCACUGAGCCACAUCUUCCUGUCCCACACUUGUCUUCCUUUUGGGUGAGGGCAAGUCAGUCAGCUAAUCCUCCCCGGCCCGCUGCCACCCUGUCGGACCUGCGGCAGCCCCAGAAGCUGACGCCCUGCACUGUGUUGAGUGGCUGACCACUCUUUCUGGUCCAUUUAUUCAAAUUCAGUUUUUGCAAUAAAGGAAACGCAUCUGAAGCUGUGAAUUGCUGUGUGAGAACUGCUCUGAGCCAUGCUGGAAGGUGGUAAUGUGCCUCUCCUUCAAGAGCACACAAUGGACAUACAUUCAGCAAGUGCCUUGGGUUUUGUUCUCCACUGUAAGUUUAGUCCUCUGAACAGUGAAUAAAGCCAUUUCAGACUUC
Alligator mississippiensis (American alligator) is the source of this 2402-nucleotide RNA transcript. It is a transcript of the gene named purinergic receptor P2X 4, with no coding region annotated. The transcript has 14 exons. Lineage: Eukaryota; Metazoa; Chordata; Crocodylia; Alligatoridae. The record is from RefSeq and is a predicted model, not a curated record.